Molecule: long non-coding RNA, 332 nt
Organism: Grus americana (Whooping crane)
Lineage: Eukaryota; Metazoa; Chordata; Aves; Gruiformes; Gruidae
Exons: 4
Source: RefSeq, a predicted model, not a curated record
AUUGCUGUGUGCUUUGCUAUUGAUACAGAAUGAAAUACUGCCCCACUGAUGCAUGUGAAAAUGUAGAUGUAUUGGGAGACUGCGCUUUGACUCAUUCAAGUCCUUUAAGGUGAAUGACAAGGCCCUUAGAAAACAUACUCUCUGCAAGGCGUAUUGCUGAGGAGUUCACUGCUAGCUGAAGGUAUGGAGACUAAAAGCCUUCCCAAGACAGAUACACGUUGGCAUUUGUUUUGAAAGAAUGGAGCAGAUCUUCCUUCUUUCCAUCAAGACAGAGGCCCCCUUCAGGUACUGGUAAGCUGCAAUUAGAUCUCCCCGGAGCCUUCUCUUCUCCA